AGGGUUUUGACAAUCCAUGGAUCUGCUGAUGAAAUCAUCCCUGUUGAAGAUGCUGUGGAGUUCGCCAAGAUUAUACCUAACCACAAAUUACACAUUAUAGAAGGAGCUAAUCAUGGAUACACUUCACAUCAAGCUGAGUUGGCUUUGGUAGCUCUGAACUUCAUAAGGACAGGCCUGCAAGAAGGCAAGGAUAAACCCUAGCCAGGUAAUGCAGUGCCAUUGGUGGAUAAAAUUUAUUGAUUCAGGAGUCCAACACAAUUUGAAAUUUUAUAUUAAAGUUGAGUUUUUCAACAUUUUGUUCCUGAUGAAGAAUCCAAUAUGUUCAGGUGGCUGAAGGACCCUGCUCAUGAUACUGCUUGGCAUAAGCGCUUGACCAUUUUGGGUGUUAUUAUAUCAGGAUCCUCAUGAGAUGGACAUGAAUAAAUAGUUUGCUAAUUGGGUUUUAUUGCUCAUAUUGUUGGCAUGAGUCUAAUUUGUUGGAUGAAAUCGUUGAGAAAACAGUCUCCUUUGCUUGCACCUUUCCCUUCCAAGAAAGUAAAUGCCUAUUUCAAUGUGGAAGAGAGAACCCACAUGAUUUCCAGCAGCACAAAUCAGAAUGUAACACCAUUCUUAGAAUCCUAUUCAACCAGUAAAGCUUUUUCUUGACAGACAACUUUGACAUAAAGCAUGGCUAGUAAUUUGGGGGCUUCUGGACUUUUGAUUGGUCAUUUUAACUACAUUUGAUAGUGCUUCAAAUUUGGAUAAAACGAUUGAACUCAAUUUCAAAUUAAAUUCCCCACAGAUGUGAGAAAGGAAAAUGAAGUUUCUAGUACUGUGUUUUGUGAUGUUUUGUUCUUCAAAGAACAAAAAAAAUGAAAAAAAGAGCAUAGAUUCACCUAACUUAAUAAGCCAAAUAGUUGUAUUAGACAGAGUCAAGAAAGGGGGUUUUGUUUCCUUUGAUACCAAGUCAAGAGUAAUCAACGGGUGGUUGGGGGUUGAUUUCCAUCGUUUGCAAUCCUUACCCUUUUACAGGAACCAACUGGAGCAUUUGGUAAUUCAUGACUUCUUGUGUUUGUUCAUUGAAAUAUAAGAGAUUAGGUAGAUGGAAGUCUAGGGUGAUUUUGAAUGUGUUAGUUUACCUAGUAAAAGAGGAGAGUUGGUUUUGUUUGUUGAAUUUUGGGUCGUUGGUGGACUCCUAUUUACUUGGGUGUUGGAGAAAAGAAUUUUGAUUUAAACAAAUCAUUGUGUGUCAAUGUUAUCUAACUUGGUCUUGGCCCUUGAAAGCUUAAAAUAUUCCCUUGGACCUUUUCUAUUCCUCCUUUAAAGGGUUUGUAAAGGUUCAACAAUACAAGACUUUGAUGACUAAAAAGCUUCUGGAUUUGCUUAAGUCAGUAGCUAUGCCAUCAUGUUACAUAACCUAAGCUGAUUGUGAAUUUCUGUAUAUUUUAUUUGGCUUGAGUUUGGACACUGGGCUAAACAUUGAACACUGACACAUGAAUUACCCUGUUUCAGUGAUUCUGAAGAAGAAAGUUAGGGAUGGGUUUUGAUGCCAUGGAUUUUGAUGCACAAAGAUGUUGUUGGCCGUAUACUAACACUUUACUUUUUAUGCAUUUUUUAAUAAAAUUUUUGAAAGUAAAUAAAGUUAAAUAUAAAAAAUAAAUAAAUGAGCAUUUAUAGUUAUUAUGAACAUAAUAAAAAUUUUUAAUAGUAAUAUUAAUUUUUUCUUAUUCAUCUUUAAAUAUAACAUAAUUAUAUAGCCCUAGCAAAAGAAUAUAUGAUGCAAAAAAGAAAAAAAAAAAAGAAAAAAAAGAAGAAGCUCCCUUUUACAAAUUAUGUAGUGAGACAAAACGUAAUAAACCUUAAGUAAAUUCUUGUUCCAGCUUUCGAAUCACUUGGGAGAGUGUGGACUGUGGAGAGUCGAGACAGCCCAUGGAACAACCCGUCAGUAAUUAUCAUUCAGUUCUCUCAACCUCAUUUAUUUGCGAAAGAAGCCCAGUGCCCACUUUCCCUCUCCAUCGGGUCCGCUUCAUCUCCUCUCGCAAGCACAGGGCCAGUAGCAGUCUGAGGAUGGCUCAACCAGGUUCGAACCAUGAUGCACAAAACCCAGGUGAGCAAACCCAUCAGCUCAAUUCCUUUUUCUUUUUUUUUAAUUUUAUUUUCUGAUUUUUUUCUUGUGCUUUGAAACGAAUACCAAUGAAAUUAAGCUAUACCCAUUUUCAGAUGAUUGCAAAUGUGGGAGAUUCAGAUAAAAAAAAUGAAAAUGGAUGAGAUUAAUGAACACCCUUUUGGUUGUGUAAGUGUGGCAUGCUGAUUUCUAUUGAUUGAAUCUGAAGUGGAUUUGCUAAGAAAGAGUACAAGUGCUGCUGUUUUUCUUGCAGCGCUGAUGUGCUGUUUGGUUGGUGAGAACACAGAGGGGGAGAAAAUGAAAUACAGUUUUGAAUGAUGUUCUUUAAUGUGCACCAAAAAAAGAAAAAAAAAAAAGAUAAAUGCACUUAACUUGAUAUCUCGAAUCUGUUGUAUUUGGCACAGUGAAGUAGGGUUUUUGUUUCCUUCAUCUUAGGUUUGGCAGUUCAAUUUCUUAACGUCCAAGUAUUUAACCAGUGACUCUUGUGAUAAUAGAUGGAUAGGAGAAAAAGUUAUUAACACUAUUAUAUUUUUGGACUCUUCUUAAUGAUGUAGAAGGCCCAUUGAACCUAAAACAGACAACAUUUAUACAGGAGGGAGUGGACUAUUAUAAAAUGUUAUAAGAGCCAAUCCCCAACUUGAAGGGACUUGAUGUGGGGUCUUUGUCUAUUCGGCCCCAUUAGGGGUGUCUAUUUGUUUGGUCUCACAAUACUGAGGGAGACAACGAGGAUGUCACAUAAGGGAGAUUGUGAUAUUCUAUAUCAAAUAGGGGAAGAGGUUCCCAACACUAUGUGUACAAGCUUUUCUUAAUCAUGUAGACAAGUUUUAAAGUUGUGAGGAUCAAUUAGGCUUAAAGUAGGCAAUAUCUAUAUUGGAGGAAGCAGGUCGUUAUAUUCUUUGUGUUUAUUUGUCGACUUUUGUUAUUUGAGUGUAAAGGCUUUUUGUACAGGGAUCAUUUCAGCCUGUCAGUGUCAUCUUAGUCUGAAAUUUGUUCAUCUUGAGGUUUUAAAGGCUAAUGAUUCUCUUCCAAUAUUUCUCUUUCUUCUAAAAGGGCUGCAAAGGUUAAUGAUAGAUAAUUUACUGUAUGCUCCUUAAACCAAGUAUAGAUCUAAUGUUGGUUGUAAAACUUCCUACUUAGACACACAAUUUAUUUGUUAAUCGAUAAAUAUCUGGUGUGCAAUGCAUAACAAGGCCAUGCUGUUUUAUUCCUAUUAACAUAAAUCCUAAUUGAUAAUAGAAUUUGAGCCAUCAUAUCUUCAUGAAAUACUCAUUGAAAAAUUAAUGUGUUCAAAUGAAAGUUAGAUAAUUGGAAAGAUGGAUAAAAUUGAGAAUCUGGGCUUGGAUGUUUGAAAGUGGAACUUGAAUAGAGGAAUUUGGAUAAUUUAAAUUUGGUAAACAGAUUUCCUGUGUGAUUCAUCUAUAUUUAAUAUUGGCUUUAGUUUUUCUUCAAUUGACAAUUGUUAGAGAUAUUGAAUACUUUCACAUGAAUUACCCUGUUUCAGUGAUUCAGCAGAAGAAAGUGAUAAUAACAAACAAUCAUGGUGAAAAACUCAUGGGCUCAUUACAUGAAACUGGAUCUGCAGAAAUUGUAAUUUUGUGCCAUGGUUUUCGGUCCACAAAGGUUGGUUGUUUCGAUAUUUGAAGUUCUAUUUUGUGUUCCAUUUUGACUAUGAUGCAUACUAUCUAGUUCUUUUUUGGUUUUUUUGUAUUUUCUUUGUUGGGGUGGAGUGAGAGCAUCCUCUCCAAUUAAGGUGUAAGAUAGACCCAAGACUCAAAUAGAAUCGAGUUAGCAAGGCACUUGCCUGUUACUGUAUUGUCUUGGGAUUUCUCAUAUUGAAAUGGUGUUAAGGUGUUUGUAUGAUCUAUAAACUACUGCUUUCUAAUAGUAGCAAUACUUUUAGAACCGAAACAUAAACAGAUUUAUUGCAAGUGUGUUGGUUGGAGGACUCAAACAGUUUAACUUUCCAGCCCAGACAAAUUCUAUUUGAUAAAAGAAACUGAAAAAACUAAUAAAAUAAAAGAAUUACUUACUAGAUAAAGUGAUGAAUAUAGGUAAAAUUUGUUUUAAUGAAUUGCAUCAUGUACAGAAAUUUUCUUUUUAAGCAAUCUUAUGUUUAAACCUGGUUUGCUCCAAGAAGUCAGGAAUCUGAAAACCAUUGGUUGCUCCCUAGAAGACAAAUGAACUAUAGAUCAUUUUAAUGCUCAUUGGCAAUUUGUGGAAAAUUUUGAACUACCAAAUUUAAAGAAUUUAUUCUCUGGGAGUCUGGAGAUUGUGCAUUCAAGGUCUCAAAUCUUGUUAAGGGUCCAGAAACAUGGAUUCUAGGGCUCCGGCGAUUCAAUCUUCAUGCGAGGAGUCGAGGCUGAUCGAGGCCAUCGUCGGUGCUGCGUUGUGGGCUGAAGGAGGAGGAAAGACUGGUGCAGAUGAGGCCCUAUUGGAGGAGGUAUCCAGGUACUCUCUUCCCGAAAACUGUUCUCUUCUUAGUUUCGGGGAUCGGGGUCUUCUUUCUUCUUCUUCUUUUUUCUGCGGGGAAAAAAAUGAGGACGUUAUGGCUGUUCGGGACUUGGUGGCACUCGAGGGGCCAUAUGUGGUGAACGAAGAAGGGAGGGCUGACCCGUUGAGAAUCAUUGAGGCUGAUGGGAGGGAGAGGGAAAUUUCUUUCGACAUGGAGAAGAAUAUUAAGGAGAGUAAGGGGGGAGAAAUGACGGUAGAAGUUACGGGAAGAGUUUCGGAGGAAGAUAAUAGAAGUGUGCUGGGCUCGUGGAUGAAUGGUGAUUUUAUAAUCUUUGUAAGUGUCUGGGUAUGCCUACGGAGGGUUUUGAGGGGGAAAUUUUAUUGUUAUUAAGAAGAAUGGAAGAGUGAAAGAAUUUUAAGGGUGGUGUGGCAGGAAAAAAAAGGAAGGUUCAAAAGGUCUCCAAGUCAGAGAGAGAAUUGAAAAAACUGGAGUGUUCAGUGAAUUAUUGUGGGACUAGAAAGAGUGCGGGGUUGCUUCAGAUUGCUAACUGAAGUUUGGGUUUGUUGGUCCAGUGAGGGGUGAGGGGAUUAUUAAGAUGGAUGUUAUGAAAUUAAGAGUCUUGUCGUGGAAUGUUAGAGGGGCUAAUGAUAGUGAGAAAAGAAAGGUGAUUAAGGCGUUGAUCAAGAGUCAAAAGGUGGAUGUAGUGUGUUUACAAGAGACCAAAAUGCAGGAGAUGUCAAGGAUGAUAGUUAGAAGCCUCGGAGUGGGAAGAUGUCUGGAUUGGAAGGUGUUAAAUUCGAGGGGUUCUUCUGGCGGUGUGCUGGUGUUCUGGGAUAAGAGGGUGCUGCAUUUAUUGGAAGCGGAAGUGGGGAACUUUUCUGUGUCUUGCAGAUUCAAAAAUUGUGAGGACGACUUUUGUUGGUUAUUCUCUGGAGUUUAUGGGCCUUCAUUGAUGAAAGAGAGGGAAGAUUUUUGGGCGGAAUUAGGAGCGGUUAGGGGUCUAUGGAGUGAUCCUUGGUGUGUGGCAGGGGAUUUCAAUGUUGUGAGAUUCCCUGUGGAGAGCAGUAGGGGAGGCAGAUUAUCUGCUUCAAUGAGGAGAUUUUUCGGAGAUUAUGGAGGAUUUAGAGUUGAGGGACCUGCCUUUGCAAGGAGGCUCUUUCACCUGGAAGGGAGGAUUGAAUAAUCAAUCCCAUUCAAGGCUUGAUCGGUUUCUGAUUUCGAAUGAAUGGGAGGAUCAUUUCUCUGGGUCUAUGCAGUAUGUCCUUCCUAAGCCGACUUCGGAUCAUUUUCCAAUUCUUCUAGACGGGGGAGGAGUAAGGAGUGGUCCGAUGCCGUUCAGGUUUGAGAAUAUGUGGUUGAAGGAAGAGGGGUUCAAAGAAAAAAUGCAGGGGUGGUGGGUGGGGCUCAAUUUUAGUGGGUCUGCGAGCUAUGUGUUGGUUUCUAAAUUGAAAGCUUUGAAGUCUCUGUUGAGAGAUUGGAAUAAGCUGGAGUUUGGGAAAGUGGAGGUCAAUAAGGUUUUGGCUUUGAGUCAGGUGGAUUUUUGGGACAAAAUGGAGUUAUCUCGGACUCUCUCUGUUCAGGAGGUGGACGCAAGGAGAGGAGCUAAAGAGGAUUUUAAGAAGUGGGCUUUGAUGAAAGAGAUAUCUUGGAGACAAAAAUCAAGGGAAGUCUGGUUGAGAGAGGGGGACAGGAAUACUAAGUUCUUCCACAAGAUGGCUAACGCUCACAGGAGGGGGAAUAUGUUAUCCCGGGUCAAAAUAAAUGGUGUUUGGUUAACAAAGGAGAAUGAGGUUAAAGAGGGGGUGGUGAAUGAGUUUAAAGCUAUGUUGUCUUCUGCUGGAGGUUGGAGACCCAGCUUAAGGGGAUUGUCUUUUGAGAGAUUGGAGGCGGUGGAUGCAGCCAGUUUGGAGGAGCCGUUUUCGGAGCAAGAGGUGAUGGAAGCGCUUAAAGGUUUUUGUGGGGAUAAAGCUCCCGGGCCUGAUGGUUUUUCUAUGGCCUUUUGGCAAUCUUCUUGGGAGUUUGUGAAAGAGGAGGUCUUGGGGUUUUUUAGGGAGUUCCAUAACCAUGGCAGGUUUGUUAAAAGUCUUAAUGCCACCUUUAUUGUUUUGAUUCCAAAGAAAGGAGGGACAGAAGAUUUAAGGGAUUUUAGGCCUAUCAGCUUGGUGGGAGGUCUGUAUAAGUGGUUGGCUAAAGUUUUAGCUAAUAGAUUAAAGAGGGUGGUGGGGAAGGUGGUCUCCAAGGCUCAAAAUGCUUUCGUGCAAGGAAGGCAAAUUCUAGAUGCUGUUCCGGUGGCUAAUGAGGUUUUAGACUCGGUUUUAAAAAACAAGGAAGAGGUUGUGAUGUGUAAGCUGGACAUUGAGAAAGCGUAUGACCAUGUGGAAUGGUCCUUUUUGUUUUCAGUCAUGAAGAAGAUGGGGUUUGGGGAAAAAUGGAUUAGAUGGAUGAAGUGGUGUAUCUCCACUGUUAGCUUCUCCGUUUUGGUGAAUGGGUCUUCCUCAGGUUUUUUUCAAAGCUCUAGAGGUUUAAGGCAAGGGGAUCCUCUCUCUCUGUAUCUUUUUGUGUUGGUGAUGGAAGCUUUUAGUAGUCUCCUAAGGAAAACAGUAGCUGGGGGCUUUGUGUCUGCUUGUAAGGCAAGAAGUAGGGGUGGUGAGGGAGUUAAUGUGUCACACCUUUUGUUUGCUGAUGACACUUUGGUUUUCUGUGGAGCUUCCAAGGUGCAAUUGCUGCAUUUAAAUUGGAUUUUAAUGUGGUUUGAAGCCAUGUCGGGCUUGAGAAUUAAUCUUGACAAAAGUGAGCUUAUUCCGGUGGGUUGUGUGAAUAAUGUAGAGGAGUUGGCUGCAGCUAUUGGUUGUAAGGUUGGAAGUCUCCCAACCUCUUAUUUGGGCUUGCCUUUAGGUGCGCAGUAUAGGUCGCGGGCUGUUUGGGACGGCAUGGAGGAGAGAAUGAGGAAAAAAUUGGCUAGAUGGAAGAGCCAAUACAUAUCCAAAGGAGGCAUGAUUACUUUGAUCCGGAGUACUCUAGCUAAUAUGCCCAUUUACUUUAUGUCCAUGCUCUCUAUGCCUAGAAAAGUCAGACUGAGGUUAGAACGGAUUCAGAGGGAGUUCUUAUGGGGAGGUGGGGCCCUUGAGAGGAAGAUUCAUCUUGUUAAGUGGGAGCUGGUUUGUCUUGAGAAGGAUAAUGGGGGGUUGGGGGUCAAGAGUCUUUCUAUCCUCAAUAAGACUCUUUUAUGUAAAUGGAGUUGGAGAUUUGCUAUGGAAAGAGAGGCUUUUUGGAACCAAGUGAUUAGGGGAAAAUAUGGGGAGGAGCAAGGGGGUUGAAGUUCAAAGGAAGCAAGGGGGGAGACGCAUGGUGUGGGAUUGUGGAAAACUCUUAGGAAAGAAUGGGAAGUUGUGAAAAGUAGGCUUGUUUUCGUUGUGGGGAAUGGGAAAAGGAUAAAAUUCUGGAAAGACAUUUGGUGUGGGGAUGAACCCCUUUGUGUUUCUUUUCCUUCUCUAUUUGCAUUGGUUGUUUCCAAGGAUGCUUGGGUUAAGGAUGUUUGGAGGUGCAAUGAGGGUGGGGGAAGUUGGAGCCCGUUGUUUUCUAGACCGUUUAAUGAUUGGGAGUUGGAAGAGGUGUGCAGUUUUUUUGUGGCCUUAAAUAGGAAGCAAAUUCAGCAAGGGGUGGAUGAUAGGGUGAUUUGGAGAGAGACUAAUUGUGGGAAGUUUUCGGUUAAGUCUCUCUACAAAUCAUUAGUAUCAGGCCAUCCAAUCUCCUUCCCAUCGUCGGCUAUUUGGAAAGUUACGGCGCAGCCUAGAGUGAGUUUUUUUGGGUGGGAAACAACGUGGGGAAAGGCUCUCACCUUGGAUCAGCUUCAAAGGAGAGGUUGGGCUCUAGCGAACAGAUGUUACCUUUGUCAAAGACAUGAAGAAUCAAUUGAUCACAUUCUUCUUCAUUGUGAUAAGGUUAGAACUCUUUGGGUGCUGCUCUACUCAAUGUUUGGGGUACAGUGGGUGCUGCCUGCCACGGUUAAGGAGACGCUUUCGGGGUGGAAUGGGUCUUUUGUGGGGAAGAAGAGGAAGGGUGUUUGGAAAGCAAGUCCUUUGUGCCUUUUUUGGACGGUUUGGAAGACAAGGAACAAAGUUGCUUUUGAGGAAGAGGAGUUGUCAAUCCAAAGACUCAAGGCUUCUUUUGUUUAUUUUCUUUGGUCAGAGACGAAAAGGUCUAUAAAAGAUGGUCCCUCGACCUUAGUUGAUUUUGUUGGGUGGGUGGCUUCCCGUUAAGGGUGUGGAUAGGGUGGCUCUUCGUUCCUUGGCGGGCUGCUAGGGAGUGUGGGGUGUUUUUCUUUCUUUUUCUUUUCUCCUUCUUGUACUUUUAGCCACUGCUUCGGUGGUUUUUAAUACAAUCUCUUUAUUUAUCUAAAAAAAAAAAAUCAACCACUUUUUGGUAUAGACAUAUCCAUUUGGAGAAAUGUGAUCCAAUUUAGUAGCAUAAGAUAGAAAAUUAAAAUGAGUCCUUGGAAAUCAAUUAUAGAGACUCUAAUAUAUACUCUUCUUUACUUAUCAAAAAAAAAAAUCAAUUAUAGAGACAGAAUUUGUCAUUUAACUUCAAAAUAUUAUAACCUAAAUAUAUGCAUGAUAAGAAUAUGGUGAGUAGGGUGCAAAAUGUGGACUCUAUUGAGUAUAUGUGAACAUAUCAUGAGUAAGGUGCAAAAUUUGUACACUGUUGUAUAUGUGUGUAGAUAAGGCUUAACCCAUCAAUAUAGCUUUCAUGAUACUACUUCAAUGACUGGAUACAUAUCAUUCUUCUUAAAAAUGCAGUAUGUUUAUCUGAUUGGUUGAUGCUCAGGAGAGGAAUGAUUUUACAGCUCUUGUUUCCAUCUCCAGGAAAACAAUACCAUGGUGAACCUUGCUAUUGCUCUGGAAAAUGAGGGGAUCAGUGCCUUUCGCUUGGACUUUGCUGGAAAUGGGUAAGCUUGUAGUAUUAUAGGACAAAACAUGGCUCCUGAACUUGAAGGUUGCUUUUGCCUCUUGCCACUUAUUUGUUUAGCUGUUGAGUGAUAAACCUCACCAAAUUGUCAAGUGGCUUGCAUAACACAAAUAGCCGCUCUUUUUGCAGAUCUGAUCCCAUGCUGUAACUCAGUUAUAGAACUGAGCCCUCUUUUUAGCUGACAUGUAGUUUUUCUUUUGUGCUCAUCUUGCAAAAUUUUCAAUAAACUGUGUUUUUUGUGUACUUCUUCUUACCUGUGUUGGCUAUUUUAUUUUAUUUUUGUUCUUUUCACCUUCCUGUUCUGCUUUGCUUUUGGGAUGAGACCUAGGUUUGGCAAUGAGGAGAAAAUUGGAUAUGGACAGUUUUGAGGUAAAAUGGUUGAAUCCAAUUUGGACUCAAGCUUGAAAAGGGUUAUGCCCUGGCCCACCCUGGAUUUAAUUUCCUAACUAUCCUUAUACUUGCAUUUAAUUUCAUAUGUGCCAUUAUGCACACAAGUAAACCUCAAAUCUCCCUUUUUCUAUCCCUAGCCACAAUUCAUGUGCCUUGUCUCUUUCGUUUUUGCAUUGGAAAAACCAAUCACAUUCUCUUAUUUGUCACAGCUUGGUCUCUUUUCUUCUUUUAUUUUAUAUUGUACAAGGCCUCUCAACCUCUGUUUCGUGAUUAGAAUUUUUUUUUUCCUUCUUUUGUUGCUUGAAUUGUUCGUCAAUUUCUCAGACCCAUGGAGUUAAUCUGAUUUGACAAUCUCAAGAACUACAAGUUGAUCCUUGGUGUAUUAGGAUGUCCCAUGUGUUCACAAAAAGCUGAUUUACUGAUGAUUAAAGUUGCUAAGAUAGUUUCCUUGGGUGCUUUCAGAUAUUCUUGGCAUUUUUAAUAUAGCACACACUCUAUUUAUCUAUUUUAUGAUUCUUUAUUAUAAAUAGCUAGAUUUUUAAUAAGAUUUCAGUGUAAUAGAUCCUAAUAUAGAAACUUUGUUAUAUUAUACUCCAAUGGGCAUCAAUGCCCUACAUUUCACUAGUGACCGUACAGUCUACUCAAAGAUUUCAUAUGAAGACAUAACAGCAAGAAUAUUUCUGAUAGUAGUGCUAAGCGUGGUUGUUUCUUGCCUUCUUCUCUUAUUCUCUUAAAUCUAUAGUAGACAAGUAUAUUUGCAGCUCUUUAGAGAAUCAUUCUUUAGAUGUGUUGAAAGAAAAUUUAGCUGUGAUGAAAUCAUUUAAGCAUUUGGUAAACCAUGGUUCAAAAAAUGUUGUGUGAGUUUCAAAAGUAACAUUUAAGUGUUUGACAAAUUGAAUUGUUGAAUUGUUUUAAGCUUGUGCAAUGACCAAACAAGGAUGUUAAAUUUUCCCCAAUUUCAAUAUAUAUAUAUAUAUAUUGAUAGUUAAAAAAGAAUACAUUAAAAACCGCUAAAAAGAGUGCACCAAAGUACAUAGGGCGUAUACAACGACUGCCAAAAGAUGGACAAAAAAUGGGGAAACGGAAAACAAAAAAACUUCUUCCUCCCUUAGUGAGAACCCAACCAAUCAAUAAAGUCACACAAGGACAUUGGACUUUCAAUUAUGUACAAAUUGGUCCAAGAUAACAAGUUAUAAAGGAACAAGUUUUCAGUCAUUGGAUAGAAGGUUCCUUGUUUUUAAACAAUCUUCUAUUUUCCUCCUUCCAAAUUGUCUAAAAAAGGCACAAGGGAGUUGUUCCCCAUACUUUUUUUCAAUUCCUUCCCACAAAGGACCCUUGCCAACCUCACAUAGUCUCUUUUAUUGAGGAAGAUAACACCUAGGAUACUCUAAAGAUAGAGAACAAAAAUUGUCACAAAACCCUUGUCAUACCACAAUGUAGCAGAAUGUGGUCAAUUGACUUCCCCUGGAUAUGACAAAGGAAGGAUUUGCUUGCUAGGAACCACUUUCUCCUCUGAAGUUGAUCUAAAGUAGAGUUUUACCCCAGGACGCCUCCCAUACGAAAAUCUCACCUUCGGUAGAAUCCAAGAGUUCCAAACAACAACUUCUGGAAAAGGGGCUAAACUCCCAGGCUCUAAGCAAGUGUAAAGGGACUUCAUAGAGAAAGAACGACUCAUUGUCUCCAAACAGAUCACCUUAUUUUCUCCUUCCCUAUUCACCGCCUNNNNNNNNNNNNNNNNNNNNNNNNNNNNNNNNNNNNNNNNNNNNNNNNNNNNNNNNNNNNNNNNNNNNNNNNNNNNNNUCUAACAACUGUUGACGUUAGACUGAUUCCACAUAUUCGCCACCCAUGCCUCAUUUGAACUGGCUAAGGCAAAUAAGGAGGGAAAAGAAACACACAACAAUUGACAUGAAAUAUGGGAUGAAAAAUAAUAAAUUAUGUCUAUUAGAUUGAUUAUACACAGUUUAUAUAGGAGAUUACAAGAGAAGAAAUAGGAAACAAGAGACAUAAUAGGAAACUAACUUAUUCCUAAAUCAUAAAACUAUCAAUUUACAGUAAUAGGAAACUAAUAAAACUAUCUAUUUACAGAAAUAGGAAACUAACAAAACUAUCUAUUUACAAAAAUAGGAAACUAACAUAAUAGGAAAAUAAUUUUCCUAUUUUAUUUACAGCUCAACAACAAUUCAUUACCACACCACUUAUCCUUCCAGAUUUCCACCCUCCUUCAAUUGCCUACAAAAAAAAAGAUUUCAUUGUUAACAAUCACCCACAAUUUCCUUAUGGCUUUCCAUAACCGAAUCUUGUACCUAUCACUCACUCACUUCAUUAGAGCACCACUCCCUUCAACUUCUCUUUAUUUGCCCCUUGUAAUUUGCUUCCAAAAAUCCUCCUGUUCCAUUCAUUGCAAACUACCAAAACCAUUUGCUAAGAAGAGCCUUGUUGAUCAAAGCAAGACACCUCACAUCGAAGCCCCUUUUUUUCUUAUUUGACCAAACAAUAGGUCACUUCACUAAAUGAGGCUUUCUCUUUAAAUUCUCUCCAACCCAUUUUCUCUAAAUUCCUUCGACCCCAAAGGAAAUCCCUUUAAAUUUGUUCCAACCUCAACCUCACUUUCCUUUGCAUUUGGAAUAAUGACAUAAAGUAGAUAGGCAAGCUAGAUAAAGUGUUCCAAAUUAGCAAUAUAAAAUAUAAAUACAAAAAUUAUUGCAAAAGUGAUUUUGAGGACCUUGAAAUCACUCAAAUGAUCUAGUUCUAGGUGUCAAUCCUAAGAGUUCUAAAACUUUGCACUUCAAUUCAUAUUGAUUUAGUUAUACAUUAAAUAGUUAUCUGAUUUCCAGGGAAAGUGAAGGUUCAUUUCAGUACGGUGGCUAUUGGAGAGAGGCUGAUGAUUUACAUGCUGUAAUCCAACAUUUCCGUGGUGCAAAGCGUGUAAUACAUGCAAUUCUGGGGCAUAGUAAAGGUGUGCCAGUUUAUAUCUGUUCAAAUAUAAAGAUUUUAGCAAUAAAAAUAACAAAAGAGAAAUUUUCACUUUAUAAAUUGAUAAUUUUAUGGGAGUUUUGUGAAGAAGAUCAAUCUAAUAGAGCAUAAUGCUUUAACUUGGAUUCCAAGCCAUGGGGUACAACACUGAUUACUCUCUUAGCCAUUUUUAUUCUUAUUCAUGCAAUUAUUAUUGUUAGCAUUAGACAGAUAGAGGGGAUGGUGAUGAAGGGCUACAAUCAAAAAGCAAGUAUGAGUUUAGCUCAAUUGGCUGUAGUGCUGAGUGCUGGAGUUGUGGUGAUAUUACCUAUAUGGUUUUUUUUUUCUUCUCUGUUUCGCUCAUCCACAAUUUUGCUUUAGUGGGAUCUGCAGAUUAACACUUCUUGACCUGAGAUUUAACUUUGUUUCUUUGCUUAUCUGGGGGUAGAAUGGUGAGUUCUAGAUCCACAUACUAUCCCUAAUUCCACCCAUAAUUCCUGAAUAAAAAAAAUGCCCAAUUUAAGAUAUAGACAUUCCAUGUGCCUUGUCCAAGGAUAGAGAUUGUCAAUAGUUGGAAUGACAUUGGAUUUUAUAACCUUCAAAGGAUGUGGGGACAUGCAUCAUAUAGAAUUGUUAUGAAUCCAAUGUUUAGAUUUAGUAUGGUUUUCAUUUUAGAUAAUUAGCUUCAUCGGUCCCAUUGUCAUACACUUCUACUUUCAUUUUUUUUCUUUUUCUUUUUAAACAGAAUGCUUAGAUAGGAAAUGGUUUUUUUUUUUUUUUUUUUGGUCUCCCUAUAUUUCAAAAAUAUUCUUGUCAAUUUAUAAAAUUAAAAUACAUGAAAUCGAGUAAACACAAGUAUCAAAAAAAUAUAUAGAUAUUCAAGAAUUUUUAUUUUCAAAAAUAAUUUGUAUGUUACUCAUACUGAUAGGAACCACUGUGUAUGGGGGCUUUGUAACAUCAAUCCAUGGAACUGAUUUUCUGCAAUUACAUUUCUCCUCAUUAGUAUUUUCUCCAUGUACCUAUGAAAAAAAUAAACACAUAUGCAAAUGGCACCUUCAUCUUUCAUUUAUGCUAAAAUAUGUUUAGCCAGCUUAGAAAGGCAACUCUAAUAAUCAAGUAAUUGUCUUCAUGUACCCCUUUCUCUUUGAAUUCUUGCAUUGCUGAAUCUUGCAGGAGGCAAUGUGGUGCUGUUGUAUGCUUCAAAGUAUCAUGAUAUCCAAAUGGUUCUCAAUGUUUCUGGCCGUCAUAAUCUGAAGAGAGGCAUUGAUGAGCGCUUGGGUAAAGACUUUUUCGAAAGAAUCAAGAAGGAUGGAUUUAUUGAUGUUAAAAAUAAAACAGGUAACCUAUUAUUUUGUGUCUGACCUGUCAUUUUCUGUAUGACAUUCUGUUCAUUUAAAGUCAAAUCCAAUUCCCCCCUUGGAAUCCCAAACCCCAUCCUGAACAAAAUAAAUAAACAAACAAAGAAAAGUAUGAUGUGGGUGAGUCUGACGUGUUGUUUUCUGUGUUCAUACAUUGGCCCAUGUUUUGAUAUAUAUUUUCAUUUUUUUCAGCAGGUUUGACUGUUCUUUUAUCAUUUCCCUCAGGUUUUUAUUCUUUAUUUUUUAAAUGCUUUAACAGAAGAGAGUAAGGGAAAAUUUCAAUAAAACCUUUUAUCACCCUUCUUUGUUUUGAAUUCUAAAGAAAACAAAAUCUUAUUCAUUACCAUAUGAGAUUUGGCAACAUGCUCUACAGUUGUCAUAAUAUUAUAACUUAAAACAAGAAAGUUGGAUAUUGUGAUAUAUGGUUCCCUGUUUUCUCCAAUGGGGGACCCAACAAUAGAGUCUGUGUGUGUGUGUGUGUAUGUGUUUGUUUGUUAAUGUAUAUUAGAACUUGACUGAUAUCUACUUUGCAGGAAGUGUUAAUUAUCGUGUGACUGAGAAGAGUUUGAUGGAUCGCCUAAGUACUGACAUGCAUGAAGCAUGCCUUAAGAUUGAAAAAGGAUGCAGGUCAGAAAAAAUAAAUACAUUUAUCAGGCAGACUACAUCUACACUGUUUUUGGUUGAAAUAAUGUUCUUGUGUCUAAAAUAGGCACAUAAUUAAUAUUCCAUAGACUAAUAAAUUAAUAAUCUAUAUUAUCUAAUUUUGUAUAUGUGGAGUUCCAUUUUUCUUUUUGCUCUUGCUGCUUUUAUGGCUUCCCUUGUAUACUUCAUGUAUAUAUAAGCCUAGUCAUUUUUCCUAUUAAUAAAUGCUUAUUAUGUACAAAAAGGUUGCUAGUCAUAAAGGGGACUACUGUAAAAUGAGUUUUGCAAUAACAGUGCAUUGAUGGUCCAUCUUCUAUAUAUGAUGAAACCAUCCUUUUUUCCCCUUAAUUUGAGGUCCCAUGAGAUCAUUCAGUUGUCAGACAACAAAAGUGGAGUCAUUUCAGAAAUGGGAGCUCAUACAAAUAUUUCAACUGUAAGAAAACUUUAACCCAACUACUUGGUGUUUGCCAAUCAAAUCCUUUUUCCAUUAUCUUGUUCUAUUUGGGCAAUGUCUACUCCUAGUCCAUAGGUUUCAUCCCAAGUAAGAAAAGAUGAAAAGGUGCAUCUUAAAUGCUGUAAAGAAGAUAAUGGGCUUUUCAAGUCGUAUUCUAUGUAAAACAUUGACUGAAUCCAUGGACUCUGUUUGAGCAUGAUCUACAUUGUGGGCCAAAUUCUAAUAACUUAAGCUUUUAGAAUAACUCAACAUGGUAUCAAAGCUUUGGUUGAUCGGAAGUCUCAUGUUCAUGUCCUCCCCCCAUCUAUUUAUUUGUCUAAUAAUUUGUGAUCACAAAAAAUUUUCUGUCUAAUUAUUUGCUGUUGUGCAUUUGUCUGCAACUACUGUUGUCAGUGCCUCCCAUGGUGGGUAUCAGGCUGAUCACAAAUUUGUGAUUCAUCUAAGAGGUACCAGUGUGGGUGCUUUAGAGUUGUGUAAAGGCAUGAUAUACAUGGUUGUGCCUCCCACAGUGGGCAUGGGGUCACACAUGUGGGGUAUCAGAGAAUGAUUGACAUUGCUAUUAGGAAAGUUAGUAACUCAACAAGCUCAUUCCCUUGGAUGUUUUAAUACUCCCUCAAUUAAUUAGUUUAUUGUUUCCCACAGAAAUUUUUUUAGUUCAAAGCUUGGUUAUUGUCUGCAAUCUUGUUAUUCUACUUUUAGCUAUAAAUUUUGAGAUGAAUGACCUUGCCUUUUUAUUUAUAUGUGGGUGGAAAAUUGGGGUAUUUUCAUGGUUGAUGACUAGGUUAAUACUCCUAGAAUUUUGUAAUUCAAGGACCACAUGUUGGUGAUAUAUUUCAAAUGAUUAUUGUUUAUUAGUUGCCACAUUGAUAUUGUAUAUACAGGGUUUUGACAAUCCAUGGAUCUGCCGAUGAAAUCAUCCCUGUUGAAGAUGCCUUGGAGUUCGCCAAGAUUAUACCUAACCACACAUUACACAUUGUAGAAGGAGCUGAUCAUAGAUACACUUCACAUCAAGCUGAGUUGGCUUUGGUAGCUCUGAACUUCAUAAAGACAGGCCUGCAGCAAGACAAGGAUAGCCCCUAACCAGGUAAUGCAGAGCC
This 16414-nucleotide long non-coding RNA is filed under the name Vitis vinifera (wine grape). Its description in RNAcentral is "long non-coding RNA (VVIN_LNC003379)". Lineage: Eukaryota; Viridiplantae; Streptophyta; Magnoliopsida; Vitales; Vitaceae. The record is from RNAcentral.